Molecule: ribosomal RNA, 253 nt
Filed under: uncultured bacterium
Lineage: Bacteria
Description: partial 16S ribosomal RNA
Rfam family: Bacterial small subunit ribosomal RNA
Source: RNAcentral
UACGAAGGGGGCUAGCGUUGCUCGGAAUCACUGGGCGCAAAGCGCACGUAGGCGGCUUUCUAAGUCAGGGGUGAAAUCCUGGAGCUCAACUCCAGAACUGCCUUUGAUACUGGAGAGCUAGAGUCCGGAAGAGGUGAGUGGAACUGCGAGUGUAGAGGUGAAAUUCGUAGAUAUUCGCAAGAACACCAGUGGCGAAGGCGGCUCACUGGUCCGGUACUGACGCUGAGGUGCGAAAGCGUGGGGAGCAAACAGG